GUAGUCUCGCACAGAUGCAUAUCAAUAAGCGGAGGAAAAGAAACUAACAAGGAUUCCCCUAGUAACGGCGAGUGAAGCGGGAAGAGCUCAAAUUUGAAAUCUUAAAGGGUUUCCCUUUACGAAUUGUAGUUUAAAGAAGUGUUUUCUGUUGAGGUUUUGGUAAAAGUUCUUUGGAAUAGGACAUCAUAGAGGGUGAGAAUCCCGUAUUUGACCUUUACUUUCAACUUUGUGAUACACUUUCAAGAGUCGGAUUGUUUGGGAAUGCAGUCCAAAAUGGGUGGUAAAUUUCAUCUAAAGCUAAAUAUUGGCGAGAGACCGAUAGCGAACAAGUACCGUGAGGGAAAGAUGAAAAGAACUUUGAAAAGAGAGUUAAACAGUACGUGAAAUUGUCAAAAGGGAAGCGUUUGACACCAGUGUUGUUUUUCUGAAAAUCAAUUAAAGAACUGUUUAUGCUAAGCUGUUUAGACUUUAUCAGCUAUCUGUUUAGUUUUGAGCUUUUCUUUAAUGCACUUUUCAGUUAACAAGUCAACAUCAAUUUCUUUUGCUGUAAAAAAGCUUGAGGAAGGUGGCUUGAGAUUCGUCUUAAGUGUUUAUAGCCUCUUGCCUAUGCAGUCGGAGAGAUUGAGGUCUGCAGCGUAGAUCCUUCGGGGCUAAAUGCAUUUGUGCUAAGUUAUAGCAUUUUAUAGACAACUUGUUGACUAUGAUUUGUCUUGUAGCUUACUCGCUUAUGUUAUUUUACCUACGCUUAGGAUGUUGAAGACUCUACAGAGAU
RNAcentral lists this ribosomal RNA (772 nucleotides) under uncultured Neocallimastigales. RNAcentral describes it as "partial large subunit ribosomal RNA". It matches the Rfam family "Eukaryotic large subunit ribosomal RNA", at positions 24 to 632 of the family's 3401-position model. Lineage: Eukaryota; Fungi; Neocallimastigomycota; Neocallimastigomycetes; Neocallimastigales. The record is from RNAcentral.